UCGGGAAUAUUGCACAAUGGGGGAAACCCUGAUGCAGCGACGCCGCGUGAGUGAUGAAGGCCUUCGGGUCGUAAAGCUCUGUCGUAUGGGACUAACAAAAUGAAGGUACCAUGCAAGAAAGGAUCGGCUAACUUCGUGCCAGCAGCCGCGGUAAGACGAGGGAUCCUAGCGUUGUUCGGAAUUAUUGGGCGUAAAGCGGGUGUAGGCGGACUUAUAAGUCAGGUGUGAAAUCCCAGGGCUCAACCCUGGAAGUGCACUUGAUACUGCAAGUCUUGAGUGUGGUAGAGGCUAUUAGAAUUCCUGGUGUAGUGGUGAAAUACGUAGAUAUCAGGAGGAAUACCGGAGGCGAAGGCGGAUAGCUGGGCCAACACUGACGCUGAGACCCGAAAGCGUGGGGAUCAAACAGGAUUAGAUACCCCCGUAGUCCCUGAGCGGGCUGGCAAGGCG
Molecule: ribosomal RNA, 447 nt
Filed under: uncultured bacterium
Lineage: Bacteria
Description: bacterial SSU rRNA
Rfam family: Bacterial small subunit ribosomal RNA
Source: RNAcentral